GACGAACGCUGGCGGCGUGCUUAACACAUGCAAGUCGAACGGAAAGGCCCCUUUGGGGGUACUCGAGUGGCGAACGGGUGCGUAACACGUGAGUAACCUGCCCUUGACUUCGGGAUAACUUCAGGAAACUGGGGCUAAUACCGGAUAGGAAUCCUUGCUGCAUGGUGGGGGUUGGAAAGCUUCGGCGGUUUUGGAUGGACUCGCGGCUUAUCAGCUUGUUGGUGGGGUAGUGGCUUACCAAGGCUUUGACGGGUAGCCGGCCUGAGAGGGCGACCGGCCACAGUGGGACUGAGAUACGGCCCAGACUCCUACGGGAGGCAGCAGUGGGGAAUAUUGCACAAUGGGCGGAAGCCUGAUGCAGCAACGCCGCGGGCGGGAUGACGGCCUUCGGGUUGUAAACCGCUUUCAGCAGGGGCGAAGCUUGUGGUGACGGUACCUGCAGAAGAAGCACCGGCUAACUACGUG
Molecule: ribosomal RNA, 465 nt
Filed under: uncultured bacterium
Lineage: Bacteria
Description: partial 16S ribosomal RNA
Rfam family: Bacterial small subunit ribosomal RNA
Source: RNAcentral